UUGAACGCUGGCGGCAUGCUUUACACCUGCAAGUCGAACGGCAGCGCGGGCUUCGGCCUGGCGGCGAGUGGCGAACGGGUGAGUAAUACAUCGGAACGUGCCCAGUAGUGGGGGAUAGCUCGGCGAAAGCCGGAUUAAUACCGCAUACGACCUGAGGGUGAAAGCGGGGGAUCUUCGGACCUCGCGCUAUUGGAGCGGCCGAUGGCAGAUUAGCUAGUUGGUGGGGUAAAGGCCUACCAAGGCGACGAUCUGUAGCUGGUCUGAGAGGACGACCAGCCACACUGGGACUGAGACACGGCCCAGACUCCUACGGGAGGCAGCAGUGGGGAAUUUUGGACAAUGGGCGAAAGCCUGAUCCAGCAAUGCCGCGUGUGUGAUGAAGGCCUUCGGGUUGUAAAGCACUUUUGGCGGGAACGAAAAGGACUGUGCCAAUACCACGGUUCGAUGACGGUACCCGCAGAAUAAGCACCGGCUAACUACGU
RNAcentral lists this ribosomal RNA (482 nucleotides) under uncultured bacterium. Its description in RNAcentral is "partial 16S ribosomal RNA". It matches the Rfam family "Bacterial small subunit ribosomal RNA", at positions 29 to 506 of the family's 1533-position model. The record is from RNAcentral.